GUGUCGAGCAACUCCCGUCUCUUCAACUGAAAUGAAACUGCCUCGCUCAUGGAUGUGUGAAUCCGCUACCGAGCGUCAGCCUUGCGCUUUCACAUUGUACUUUGCAGCCAUUGGCAAUCAAGAAAGGGGUGUGUAAACAAAGUGAAUGCCGUACCACAAGGGCCUGCUGGGUGACUGUUCCAGACAACACUAAUGGAGAGGUGGUGACUUUUAUAGGAAGUUGCUUUUAAGAGGGUGUCAGACAUCAUUUUGAUCCUAGAUAGCAUGAGAGCUUGUCAGGAAAAAAUUGAUUUCAGUCCUAAACCAACAGAUGGCAGUAUGUCUUAAAGAAAAGACCAGGAUGCAGACUGUUUUACGCACACUGUAACACUACAGCAAGUGAGAUGUGAGAAGUUUGAAAAUGCACUGAAUUUAGCUUGAGACCUGUCAGUAAGUUUCUGUAGAAUUCUCUCUAGGUGUGAUCUUUUUUAUUCUCAGGGUCUAUCAGAGAUGACAUCCGGUCACCUCCAGCAGGACAGGCGCGGAUGUCGCCCAUGAAUAAAGCGGUGUAGAAUCUACACAUGGAAAAUGUGGGCUGUGGUUUUCUUUCUGUGGACUCUUCUUGGCAAAAAACUGCCUUAAUUAAAAAAAAAAAAAAAAGGAAAAAUGUUAACUGUUCCAAACAUAUGUUCCCAAACAUAUGGGCAGCACUUUGGGUUGGUCCCCCAACCUAUGUACAGACCUAUCAUACUACUGUAAUUAUCAAUUAUUUUCUCCACAUUCAAUCUGUAUAGAAGCAGGUUAGAUAUAAAACAGCGGAGGAAAAUAUGUCAUUCUGGUUAAAUAGAUCACAAACAUUUAUUGUAGCUUGUGUUCUAAUCAGCAUCAGUUUGAACAAGGCUGCUGCUAUUUGUUGAGACUUUUAAGAGUGCCAUUAUGGGUGGUAUUGCCAGUUGUAUCCGUGCACUUGUAUAGAAUUCUGCUACACUCAUUUUUAUGACAGCAAUUGAGUUUCUGCUUGCACUGUAAAAAUGUUUAGUUGCAUAAGACUGUAUUGUGCAAUCAUUCUAUAUAGGGAAUCAUGGGAAACAGUUCAUUAAUAGGGAGGAGGCCAUGUCACAUUUCUUAAAACACUCAAGUU
Onychostoma macrolepis is the source of this 1120-nucleotide long non-coding RNA. RefSeq lists it as uncharacterized. NCBI's taxonomy places the organism in Eukaryota, Metazoa, Chordata, Actinopteri, Cypriniformes, Cyprinidae. The transcript is spliced from 3 exons. The record is from RefSeq and is a predicted model, not a curated record.